Long non-coding RNA from Etheostoma spectabile (orangethroat darter), 178 nucleotides. RefSeq lists it as uncharacterized. The record is from RefSeq and is a predicted model, not a curated record. The transcript is spliced from 3 exons. Lineage: Eukaryota; Metazoa; Chordata; Actinopteri; Perciformes; Percidae.
AAACAGAGAGCUCAACACACAGGGUGAAAAGAGGAGCUGCGGCAAUGGGCAGUACAAGAAAAAUAUGGUGUUUUUCAAAACUUAAACAUUUAAACCUAUACUGGUACAACCGCUAAAUACAAUUAGGAACCUGAAAAUGAGCAUAAUAUGAGCUCUUUAAGCAAGCCAUGAAAUUCAA